Non-coding RNA from Ictidomys tridecemlineatus (thirteen-lined ground squirrel), 2323 nucleotides. NCBI's taxonomy places the organism in Eukaryota, Metazoa, Chordata, Mammalia, Rodentia, Sciuridae. The record is from RefSeq and is a predicted model, not a curated record.
CCUAGCUGUUUGCUCUUUUCUCAAAGGUCUUAAGAUCACAGAAAUCCAUCCAAGAACAAUAGCCGUUUCUAGGCUCUGAGUCCUGGAGGAGAGGACAAGGCGAGCUCCAGGCAAUUGUAGAGCUGGGAACUUGAAGAAGGAGGAGGGCCGCCUGCCACGGAUCCUGCACGCCACCACAGCCUGUCCCUCCUGGAUUCAGGGGUCCCAGGACUUCCCUGAACCCUCAGCUGCAGUCAGGCCUGUGUACUCCCCCACAUGGGUCUGUGAGGAAGUCUGGCAUGUGUUGGGUCAAGGUCUCAGCUACAUGGCCUCUGAGUGGCACUUGGCCUACCUUGAGCCCUUCUCCUGGAAUCAAAUGCCUAGGAACCAGAACACCUUCACCCAGCCACCUGUGCUUAGAAAUACUGCACUUACACGAAGACUCAUUGAGCCACGGAGGGCCUUGUUCUCCCAGGCCAUCAAGCCACCCAAUAUCCCUUUUCACCCCAAGGUAUGGUCUUCCCUCCACUCAGGCCUGCCUGGCCCUGUGUGGCUACAUCUCCCUAAGGCUUCUGCACAGAAAUGUGGCUGAAUGCUGCCCCAGCUUGAAAUUCAAAGAAAGGUCAUGAAAGAAGGGGGUCCGCCUAACACAGAGGAACUGAAGAAGCCUGGGUCCUGUGUCCGGGACUGGUAGAGACUGCGCCACAACCCUGACUCACCUGCUCCUUCUGGUCUACUCACACCCUGCAGCUGAGCUCUGCAGACAGUUGCUCUGGGCAGCUUGUUCUGCUGAAAAGCCGUUGAGGGCUCCUUUGCUGCAUGGCCCUGACUCACCUGUCCCUGCACCCCACUGCGAAGCCCAGGUGCCACACUGAAGUACCCUGUUCCCCAAACCUCCCCUGUACUUUCUAGCCCCUGGAAUUUGGGUCUCCUGGACACACGGGUCCUAUCCUGAAGAAGGGCACCCAAAACUAGAAAGGCCAAGGACCUAUAGCUGCAGCUGGGCAGGAAAAAGUGAGGGGAGUCGGCAGCCUGUGCUCACCUCGGCUCUGCCAGCAACUGGCCCCAAGACCCUGGACAGGGGCUCCCCUCUCCAGGCCUCGGCAUCGUCAUCUACAAACGGUGGGUGCUGGCCCAGUCACCUCCACAGGCGUCUUCUAGCACCUCCAGAAACUCCAGCCUCCAGGGCCCCAGGCUGUCAUCCCCCACCCCUUGUCUUAGUUCAGGAUAUUACAGCAAAGCUCCAGAGACAGGGUGGCUUAUAAGUAACAGAUGUUUAUCGCUCACAGUCCUGGAGGCCGGGAAGUCCAAGAUCAAGGCACUGGAAGCCUGCAUGUUUGGCUACAGGUGAGAAAGGAGUGGAGGAGUCCAUUCACUCAUCACAGUGGACAAGCCUCCCUUCCCAGCACAAGGGACUUGCUUGAAGCUCACCAGGGGCAAUGCACUCCCCAGAGCUCGCCAACCCAGCCUUGCCAGCCCACUCUUUCCAAGAUGGCUGAGGUAAUUAGAGCGGGAUAAAUCUGGAUCAAUUGUCCCUCUUCCCACUGAGGAGGCUUUGGGGAUUCUGGGAGAGUGCGGGGUCCUACUGCCUGAGUCAUUAACUUCUGUGCUAUAACAGAGAACUCUCCCUGGGACAUCUCUGGAGGCAGAAGACAAGUAGUCCUGUGGCUGAGGGCUGCGUCUGAAGAAGCUCGUCAGCUGAAUUAUUAAUGGGACUCUGAGUACUGCUCAAGUUUCCUGUGACAGAUGGCUUGGCGAGCUGAUGGUUCUGAGACCAAUUAAGAAUGAGUGUGGAUUCUGAGGCAGCACCACAUCCACGAGAGUCUUAAAAUGUCUCCAGAAGAUACCAAGGAAAUUCACAGCCAGCUGUCUCCUGGGACACCAGCAGGAUCCAGCAAAGAAGAAGGGAUGCCAGAAGCUGCAAGGCCCAGGGCCACUGUCCCCCAGCCCAAGGCAUCACCAACCAGAAUGCUAAAUACAGCAGAGGUCUGGGCCUUCAGAGGUCUCUGGUCUUUGGGCUCCUCGGGGUCUUAAGCCUUAGGAAAAUAAUGUGAUGUGACAAGAGGGAGCCAGUCCAGAAAUUUAAUUUAAUGAAAAGGUAAUUUCAACAAAGCUAGACAAGACUGUGUGCAUCAGGGAUUCCCAGGCUCUUUACUGCAUCCCAUGUAUCUAGAAGAGGGGAAAUAUAUAAUCAGACUUCCACAGUCAUAGGUUCUGUGUCCAAGAAUUCAACCAACCAGACUGAAAACAGUGGAGGGGAAGUAUUGUGUUUGUACUGAAGAUGCACAUUUUUUUCUUCUCAUUCUUCCCUAAACAAUAUAGUAUAACAACUACUUACACAGCA